RNAcentral lists this ribosomal RNA (253 nucleotides) under uncultured bacterium. Its description in RNAcentral is "partial 16S ribosomal RNA". It matches the Rfam family "Bacterial small subunit ribosomal RNA", at positions 524 to 776 of the family's 1533-position model. The record is from RNAcentral.
UACGGAGGGGGUUGGCGUUGUUCGGCAUUACUGGGCGUAAAGCGCGCGUAGGCGGAUCAGAAAGUUGGGGGUGAAAUCCCGGGGCUCAACCCCGGAAUUGCCUUCAAAACUCCUGGUCUUGAGUUCGAGAGAGGUGAGUGGAAUUCCGAGUGUAGAGGUGAAAUUCGUAGAUAUUCGGAGGAACACCAGUGGCGAAGGCGGCUCACUGGCUCGAAACUGACGCUGAGGUGCGAAAGCGUGGGGAGCAAACAGG